Molecule: long non-coding RNA, 2320 nt
Organism: Tarenaya hassleriana
Lineage: Eukaryota; Viridiplantae; Streptophyta; Magnoliopsida; Brassicales; Cleomaceae
Exons: 5
Source: RefSeq, a predicted model, not a curated record
UCGCGUCAUCUCUCUCUCUCUCUCUCUAGGACUGUGAGACUGUCUUUGCACGUUUAUCACCCCUGAAGUGAUCUUUUUUGGAUUCUUUGUUUCGUCUUCGACCGAGCCAUGGCCGGCUCAGAGAUUCUCCACAAGAUGAAGAUAACUGUCAAGGCACGAUUAAUCCGGUCUCUUGGUCUCUCUCUCUCUCGCUCGAAUCGAUGCUCCGUUUGCCUUUUUUUUUUUAAAUCGUUUGUUGUUGCGAAUCGGUUCAUUUUUGUAUAAUUCAACGAGCUACGUUUUCUCAGCAAACGGAUUUUCGAAUCUGGGUUUUGCUGCAACGGAGCUGUGAAGUGCGUUUGUGUAUUAGUUGUGGUCGAUUUGUGAUUUACUUGGCGUCAAUUUCGGUUGUGGAUAGGAGAUUUCGACGAAGAGGAACCAAAUGAUGGGCAGCACAAUUGGUUGGUCUCUAUUGUUUGCUUCUUCCGAGAGGCCUCUGAUUUGCAUCCUCUGUGUCUAGGGUUCCGAGAAUGUGUGUUGUUGUUUGAAUGUGUUAACACUGGAAUAACGGUCUGGAAGGAUUUUUUUUUUUGUUUGGUGUGAUGUUCUGAAUCGGUUUGUCUGGAUUUUUUGCUGUGCGCAGAGGAAAGUUGGGCGCGGUUCAUCUGCUUCUGCAGAUCCAGGUAAAGGGAAGAGUAAGAUGUCGAAGGAGCCCUUCGGGGCCAGGUCAAGUGGCAGAAGGCAGGGGCAACUCUUUGAGGUGGGGGAUCGAUUCCUCCCGCCGCUCCUUUUUCCAUCUGACCUGCUCGCCUGCCAGCCUGUCAUAACGGGCUGAUUUACCUCCCACGUGUGUGUCGCAGGCUCGUGUGCGUGGGCUUGGGGUUUGACCUGCAGGCGCCUAAGCCCAACUACGGCCCGAGCGUUAGGCGCGCCUGGUGGCCAGGUCCGGCGGACUGAGGUCCAUGGGGACUGUUAGGCGCGGGUGGUGGCCAGUUCGUCUCCGUUUGUAAGGGUAGUUAGUCACAGCGGUUCCCAAUCUAUUAAAAAAAAAAAAAAGAUGUCGAAGGACAUAACCCAUGGUUAUCUCUUGUUAUCACGAGAUAGAAGGUUACUCUCUCGCCAAAUUCAAGGAAGUUGGUGACAAUGUGCUCGGGCUGUUUGCGAUACAUGACGGUCCAUUUGAGAGAUUCCUGACUACUUGUGCUCCCAUCUAUUUGAAAAACAUCUUGAAAGAGCCCAAUUUCUGGGAGGAGCCCGAGAAAGUGAUGAAGAACUCCUAUAGUAUACAGAUACGUCGAUAUUAAUCAACUCCCAGAAGUUAGUAGGGCCAAUACUGCGGACUUUCGUGCUGUUCUUUGCAAGAAUGGUGUUGCGAAGAAACUCUCAGUUGAUCAUGAACCAAAUAUGGUGAAGGAGGGAAUUUUUUUUUUUGGUUGAAAUGAAGGAGGGAAUUGAGAAUAGAGGUGGAUUCAUUUCCAACUUUCUUGGGGAUGUUUCAUUGUGGCAUGGACAUUUGGUGACAAGAGUAUAAAGAUACAUUUGAGCUCAGAACCUGAUGUUCCGGCAGAGAUGAUUGAUGAGGAUGCAGACUUUCUUAUCCUAGCAAGGGAUGGAGAUGGACUGUGGAAGGUCAUGUCUAACCAAGAAGCUGUCUGACUUGAUAAAGGACAUAAAAGAUGCAGCAAAGCAUCUUACAGAGAGGAGGCUGUUGUAAGGAAAAGCGGAGACGACAUCUCAGUCAUCAUUGUGAAAUUUCAGUGACCUUGACUUUCGGACCACGGAGCAGAUGCUUAUAUACCAUCGAACCCCCUUUGAUAACUUUCCUGUGACAGUCUUUAUCAUCUUUACUCCUUGGGAGAGAACAGUACAGAGUAAGAGAAGGGGACCUACAGAUUUGAUUCCAUUGCGUCAUCUCUCUCAUUAAUGGUCACCGAAACGAGAGAGUUUUGCAAAAUCCAUCGUCUGUCCUUUGAGUUGAGACCAUCAACAGCAGAAUCAAAGAAAAACCCAUGUCCACACACCUCAAAUGGCAAGUAAAUCAUUUUGUUCUUUCUUUUACUGUGUAAUUCAUCUUUCAUUGGGAGUAAAAAACCACAGUAAAAAAGCUUUUUCCUGAUGAGUUUUUUUUUUUGGGAUUUCAAAAGUGAGAGCCAAGAAAACAGUGAAAAAAACAAGAAUACUAGAAUUAGUGGUUAGUGAUGGGGACAGGACACAAAAGGACUCAGAAGCCCAUCUGUCUGUAAUGAGUAUUGAGUGGUGACUUACUGAGUUAUUUCACACUGACUUUGGUCUUUUUUGUUGUGGGGCUUUCAAAGCUUCACAGUCCUUUUAUGGCCCCUAC